AACGAACGCUGGCGGCAUGCCUAACACAUGCAAGUCGAACGAGACCUUCGGGUCUAGUGGCGCACGGGUGCGUAACGCGUGGGAACCUGCCCUUAGGUUCGGAAUAACUCCCCGAAAGGGGUGCUAAUACCGGAUAAUGUCUUCGGACCAAAGAUUUAUCGCCUUUGGAUGGGCCCGCGUUGGAUUAGCUAGUUGGUGAGGUAAAGGCUCACCAAGGCGACGAUCCAUAGCUGGUCUGAGAGGAUGAUCAGCCACACUGGGACUGAGACACGGCCCAGACUCCUACGGGAGGCAGCAGUGGGGAAUAUUGGACAAUGGGCGAAAGCCUGAUCCAGCAAUGCCGCGUGAGUGAUGAAGGCCCUAGGGUUGUAAAGCUCUUUUACCUAGGGAUGAUAAUGACAGUACCUGGAGAAUAAGCUCCGGCUAACUCCGUGCCAGCAGCCGCGGUAAUACGGAGGGAGCUAGCGUUGUUCGGAAUUACUGGGCGUAAAGCGCACGUA
This 500-nucleotide ribosomal RNA is filed under the name uncultured bacterium. Its description in RNAcentral is "bacterial SSU rRNA". It matches the Rfam family "Bacterial small subunit ribosomal RNA", at positions 28 to 573 of the family's 1533-position model. The record is from RNAcentral.